CAUGCAAGUAGGACGCACAGUUUAUACCGUAGCUUGCUACACCAUAGACUGUGAGUUGCGAACGGGUGAGUAACGCGUAGGUAACCUGCCUAUUAGAGGGGGAUAACUAUUGGAAACGAUAGCUAAUACCGCAUAACAGUAUGUAACACAUGUUAGAUGCUUGAAAGAUGCAAUUGCAUCGCUAGUAGAUGGACCUGCGUUGUAUUAGCUAGUAGGUAGGGUAAAGGCCUACCUAGGCAACGAUACAUAGCCGACCUGAGAGGGUGAUCGGCCACACUGGGACUGAGACACGGCCCAGACUCCUACGGGAGGCAGCAGUAGGGAAUCUUCGGCAAUGGGGGGAACCCUGACCGAGCAACGCCGCGUGAGUGAAGAAGGUUUUCGGAUCGUAAAGCUCUGUUGUUAAGGAAGAACGAGUGUGAGAAUGGAAAGUUCAUACUGUGACGGUACUUAACCAGAAAGGGACGGCUAACUACGUGCCAGCAGCCGCGGUAAUACGUAGGUCCCGAGCGUUGUCCGGAUUUAUUGGGCGUAAAGCGAGCGCAGGCGGUUAGAAAAGUCUGAAGUGAAAGGCAGUGGCUCAACCAUUGUAGGCUUUGGAAACUGUUUAACUUGAGUGCAGAAGGGGAGAGUGGAAUUCCAUGUGCAGCGGUGAAAUGCGUAGAUAUAUGGAGGAACACCGGUGGCGAAAGCGGCUCUCUGGUCUGUAACUGACGCUGAGGCUCGAAAGCGUGGGGAGCGAACAGGAUUAGAUACCCUGGUAGUCCACGCCGUAAACGAUGAGUGCUAGGUGUUAGGUCCUUUCCGGGAAUUAGUGCCGUAACUAACGCAUUAAGCAC
This 839-nucleotide ribosomal RNA is filed under the name uncultured Streptococcaceae bacterium. Its description in RNAcentral is "bacterial SSU rRNA". It matches the Rfam family "Bacterial small subunit ribosomal RNA", at positions 54 to 867 of the family's 1533-position model. Lineage: Bacteria; Bacillati; Bacillota; Bacilli; Lactobacillales; Streptococcaceae. The record is from RNAcentral.